This 459-nucleotide ribosomal RNA is filed under the name uncultured bacterium. RNAcentral describes it as "partial 16S ribosomal RNA". It matches the Rfam family "Bacterial small subunit ribosomal RNA", at positions 339 to 795 of the family's 1533-position model. The record is from RNAcentral.
CUACGGGAUGCUGCAGUAAGGAAUAUUGCGCAAUGGAGGCAACUCUGACGCAGCCAUGCCGCGUGCAGGAAGAAGGCCUUAUGGGUCGUAAACUGCUUUUAUUUAGGAAUAAACCCCCGAACGUGUUCGGGGCUGAAGGUACUAAACGAAUAAGCACCGGCUAACUCCGUGCCAGCAGCCGCGGUAAUACGGAGGGUGCAAGCGUUAUCCGGAUUUAUUGGGUUUAAAGGGUGCGCAGGCGGGCUAUUAAGUCAGUGGUGAAAUCCCGGGGCUCAACUCCGGAACUGCCAUUGAUACUGAUAGUCUUGAGUUUGGUUGAAGUGGGCGGAAUGUAGCAUGUAGCGGUGAAAUGCAUAGAUAUGCUACAGAACACCAAUCGCGAAGGCAGCUCACCAAGCCAAAACUGACGCUCAUGCACGAAAGUGUGGGGAUCAAACAGGAUUAGAUACCCUUGUAGUC